AUUGAACGCUGGCGGCAGGCCUAACACAUGCAAGUCGAGCGGAUGAAGGGAGCUUGCUCCUGGAUUCAGCGGCGGACGGGUGAGUAAUGCCUAGGAAUCUGCCUGGUAGUGGGGGAUAACGUCCGGAAACGGGCGCUAAUACCGCAUACGUCCUGAGGGAGAAAGUGGGGGAUCUUCGGACCUCACGCUAUCAGAUGAGCCUAGGUCGGAUUAGCUAGUUGGUGGGGUAAAGGCCUACCAAGGCGACGAUCCGUAACUGGUCUGAGAGGAUGAUCAGUCACACUGGAACUGGAACACGGUCCAGACUCCUACGGGAGGCAGCAGUGGGGAAUAUUGGACAAUGGGCGAAAGCCUGAUCCAGCCAUGCCGCGUGUGUGAAGAAGGUCUUCGGAUGGUAAAGCACUUUAAGUUGGGAGGAAGGGCAGUAAGUUAAUACCUUGAUGUUUUGACGUUACCAACAGAAUAAGCACCGGCUAACUUCGUG
Molecule: ribosomal RNA, 484 nt
Filed under: uncultured bacterium
Lineage: Bacteria
Description: partial 16S ribosomal RNA
Rfam family: Bacterial small subunit ribosomal RNA
Source: RNAcentral